This 512-nucleotide ribosomal RNA is filed under the name uncultured bacterium. Its description in RNAcentral is "partial 16S ribosomal RNA". It matches the Rfam family "Bacterial small subunit ribosomal RNA", at positions 28 to 507 of the family's 1533-position model. The record is from RNAcentral.
GAUGAACGCUGGCGGCGUGCCUAAUACAUGCAAGUCGAACGAAACUUCUUUAUCACCGAGUGCUUGCACUCACCGAUAAAGAGUUGAGUGGCGAACGGGUGAGUAACACGUGGGCAACCUGCCCAAAAGAGGGGGAUAACACUUGGAAACAGGUGCUAAUACCGCAUAACCAUAGUUACCGCAUGGUAACUAUGUAAAAGGUGGCUAUACUACCGCUUUUGGAUGGGCCCGCGGCGCAUUAGCUAGUUGGUAGGGUAAAGGCUUACCAAGGCAAUGAUGCGUAGCCGAAUUGAGAGGUUGAUCGGCCACAUUGGGACUGAGACACGGCCCAAACUCCUACGGGAGGCAGCAGUAGGGAAUCUUCCACAAUGGGCGAAAGCCUGAUGGAGCAGCGCCGCGUGGGUGAAGAAGGUCUUCGGAUCGUAAAACCCUGUUGUUAGAGAAGAAAGUGCGUGAGAGUAACUGUUCACGUUUCGACGGUAUCUAACCAGAAAGCCACGGCUAACUACGUG